GAUGAACGCUAGCGGCAGGCUUAAUACAUGCAAGUCAAGGGGGUAGCAAUACAACCGGCGCACGGGUGAGUAACGCGUACACAACAUACCAUAUACUGGGGUAUAGCUUCGGGAAACUGAAGGUAAUCCCCCAUAAUAUUGCGGGAAGGCAUCUUUCUGCAAUUAAAGUUUCGACGGUAUAUGAUUGGUGUGCGUUUGAUUAGCUAGUUGGUAGGGUAACGGCUCACCUAGGCUACGAUCGUUAGGGGGCCUGAGAGGGUUAUCCCCCACACUGGUACUGAGACACGGACCAGACUCCUACGGGAGGCAGCAGUGAGGAAUAUUGCGCAAUGGAGGCAACUCUGACGCAGCCACGCCGCGUGCAGGAAGAAGGCGCUACGCGUUGUAAACUGCUUUUAACCGGGAAGAAACCCUCCGACGUGUCGGAGGUUGACGGUACCGGAGGAAUAAGCACCGGCUAACUUCGUGCCAGCAGCCGCGGU
This 482-nucleotide ribosomal RNA is filed under the name uncultured bacterium. RNAcentral describes it as "bacterial SSU rRNA". It matches the Rfam family "Bacterial small subunit ribosomal RNA", at positions 28 to 521 of the family's 1533-position model. The record is from RNAcentral.